RNAcentral lists this ribosomal RNA (433 nucleotides) under uncultured bacterium. RNAcentral's name for it is "partial 16S ribosomal RNA". It matches the Rfam family "Bacterial small subunit ribosomal RNA", at positions 29 to 507 of the family's 1533-position model. The record is from RNAcentral.
AGCGAACGCUGGCGGCAGGCCUAACACAUGCAAGUCGAACGAACUCUUCGGAGUUAGUGGCGGACGGGUGAGUAACACGUGGGAACGUGCCUUUAGGUUCGGAAUAACUCAGGGAAACUUGUGCUAAUACCGAAUGUGCCCUUCGGGGGAAAGAUUUAUCGCCUUUAGAGCGGCCCGCGUCUGAUUAGCUAGUUGGUGAGGUAAAGGCUCACCAAGGCGACGAUCAGUAGCUGGUCUGUGAGGAUGAUCAGCCACAUUGGGACUGAGACACGGCCCAAACUCCUACGGGAGGCAGCAGUGGGGAAUCUUGCGCAAUGGGCGAAAGCCUGACGCAGCCAUGCCGGGUGAAUGAUGAAGGUCUUAGGAUUGUAAAAUUCUUUCACCGGGGACGAUAAUGACGGUACCCGGAGAAGAAGCCCCGGCUAACUUCGUG